CCUACGGGAGGCAGCAGUGGGGAAUAUUGGGCAAUGGGCGCAAGCCUGACCCAGCAACGCCGCGUGAAGGAAGAAGGCUUUCGGGUUGUAAACUUCUUUUAAGGGGGAAGAGCAGAAGACGGUACCCCUUGAAUAAGCCACGGCUAACUACGGGCCAGCAGCCGCGGUAAUACGUAGGUGGCAAGCGUUGUCCGGAUUUACUGGGUGUAAAGGGCGUGCAGCCGGAGAGACAAGUCAGAUGUGAAAUCCACGGGCUCAACCCGUGAACUGCAUUUGAAACUGUUUCCCUUGAGUGUCGGAGAGGUAAUCGGAAUUCCUUGUGUAGCGGUGAAAUGCGUAGAUAUAAGGAAGAACACCAGUGGCGAAGGCGGAUUACUGGACGAUAACUGACGGUGAGGCGCGAAAGCGUGGGGAGCAAACAGGAUUAGAUACCCCUGUAGUC
Molecule: ribosomal RNA, 442 nt
Filed under: uncultured bacterium
Lineage: Bacteria
Description: partial 16S ribosomal RNA
Rfam family: Bacterial small subunit ribosomal RNA
Source: RNAcentral